Molecule: ribosomal RNA, 543 nt
Filed under: Menetes berdmorei (Indochinese ground squirrel)
Lineage: Eukaryota; Metazoa; Chordata; Mammalia; Rodentia; Sciuridae
Description: partial 16S ribosomal RNA
Rfam family: Bacterial large subunit ribosomal RNA
Source: RNAcentral
ACCUCUAGCAUUAAUUAGUAUUAGGAGGCACUGCCUGCCCAGUGACAUACGUUUAACGGCCGCGGUAUCCUGACCGUGCAAAGGUAGCAUAAUCACUUGUUCCUUAAUUAGGGACUCGAAUGAAUGGCAAGACGAGGGUUAAUCUGUCUCUUACUUUCAAUCAGUGAAAUUGACCUUCCCGUGAAGAGGCGGGAAUAAGUAAAUAAGACGAGAAGACCCUAUGGAGCUUAAAUUCUUUACUCAAGUAAAUACUUCUAAUUCAACAAGAUAUAAAACUCUUACUAAUGAAUAAAGAUUUUUGGUUGGGGUGACCUCGGAGCAUAAAUCAACCUCCGAAUGAUCUUAAUUAAGACUUUCACCCGUCUAAAUUUUCACUCAUGAAUUGACCCAAACUAUUGAUCAACGGAACAAGUUACCCUAGGGAUAACAGCGCAAUCCUACCCAAGAGUCCCUAUCGACAGUAGGGUUUACGACCUCGAUGUUGGAUCAGGACAUCCAAAUGGUGUAGCAGCUAUUAAUGGUUCGUUUGUUCAACGAUUAAAG